This 507-nucleotide ribosomal RNA is filed under the name Pseudolycoriella sp. RNAcentral's name for it is "partial large subunit ribosomal RNA". The record is from RNAcentral. Lineage: Eukaryota; Metazoa; Arthropoda; Insecta; Diptera; Sciaridae.
GUCUUUUUGAUUUUAAUUUAAAGUUUAACCUGCCCAUUGAAAUUUUUUAAAAGGCUGCGGUAUUUUGACCGUACAAAGGUAGCAUAAUCAUUAGUUUUUUAAUUGAAAACUUGUAUGAAUGGUUGAAUGAGAAAUUAACUUUUUUAAAAAAAUAAUUGAAUUUUACUUUUUAAUUAAAAGGUUAAAAUAAUUUUAAAAGACGAGAAGACCCUAUAGAGUUUUAUAAUUUUUAUUUAAUAUUUAAAAAGAUUAAUUAAAAUUUUAUGAAUAAAAUUAUUUUGUUGGGGUGAUAAUAAAAUUUAAAUAACUUUUAUUUUUUCUUUACAUUAAUAUAUGAUUUUAUGAUCCAUUAUUAAUGAUUAAAAAUUUAAAUUACCUUAGGGAUAACAGCGUAAUUUUUUUUUAAAGUUCAUAUUAAUAAAAAAUUUUGCGACCUCGAUGUUGGAUUAAGAUUUAAUUUUAGGUGCAGCAGUUUAAAUUUUAAGUCUGUUCGACUUUUAAAUUCUU